Molecule: long non-coding RNA, 228 nt
Filed under: Lathyrus oleraceus (garden pea)
Lineage: Eukaryota; Viridiplantae; Streptophyta; Magnoliopsida; Fabales; Fabaceae
Description: Pisum sativum (pea) long non-coding RNA (PSAT_LNC009255)
Source: RNAcentral
AAAACUUCAGUUAACUUUGCCUUUCCAAUUAAGGUUCCAUUCAGACUUCAUUUGGAAUCAUUUUGGACCUUUUUGCAUUGCAUCAUGGGCCUGCACAUGCCCAUGCACUCGUGCCAUCCACAUUACUAAUUUUGGAGAAAUUUUGAAGUGUGCAAAUAUCAUUCAUUCAUGCUAUAAAUACAUGACUUCUGUGCUCAUUUGAAACAGACCUUGUGCGCCAGCUUUGCC